AUCUGUCCAUGGGUGGGGGAUAACUCUGGGAAACUGGAGCUAAUACCGCAUGAUACCUGAGGGUCAAAGGCGCAAGUCGCCUGUGGAGGAGCCUGCGUUCGAUUAGCUUGUUGGUGGGGUAAUGGCCUACAAGGCGAUGAUCGAUAGCUGGUCUGAGAGGAUGAUCAGCCACACUGGGACUGAGACACGGCCCAGACUCCUACGGGAGGCAGCAGUGGGGAAUAUUGGACAAUGGGGGCAACCCUGAUCCAGCAAUGCCGCGUGUGUGAAGAAGGUUUUCGGAUUGAAAAGCACUUUCGGCGGGGACGAUGAUGACGGUACCCGCAGAAAAAGCCCCGGCUAACUUCGUGCCAGCAGCCGCGGUAAUACGAAGGGGGCUAGCGUUGCUCGGAAUGACUGGGCGUAAAGGGCGUGUAGGCGGUUUGUACAGUCAGAUGUGAAAUCCCCGGGCUUAACCUGGAAGCUGCAUUUGAUACGUGCAGACUAGAGUGUGAGAGA
RNAcentral lists this ribosomal RNA (498 nucleotides) under uncultured Acetobacter sp. RNAcentral describes it as "bacterial SSU rRNA". It matches the Rfam family "Bacterial small subunit ribosomal RNA", at positions 124 to 655 of the family's 1533-position model. The record is from RNAcentral. Lineage: Bacteria; Pseudomonadati; Pseudomonadota; Alphaproteobacteria; Acetobacterales; Acetobacteraceae.